UACGUAGGGUGCAAGCGUUGUCCGGAAUUAUUGGGCGUAAAGAGCUUGUAGGCGGUCUGUCGCGUCUGCUGUGAAAAUCCGGGGCUCAACCCCGGACUUGCAGUGGGUACGGGCAGACUAGAGUGUGGUAGGGGAGACUGGAAUUCCUGGUGUAGCGGUGAAAUGCGCAGAUAUCAGGAGGAACACCGAUGGCGAAGGCAGGUCUCUGGGCCACUACUGACGCUGAGAAGCGAAGGCAUGGGGAGCGAACAGG
RNAcentral lists this ribosomal RNA (253 nucleotides) under uncultured bacterium. Its description in RNAcentral is "partial 16S ribosomal RNA". It matches the Rfam family "Bacterial small subunit ribosomal RNA", at positions 524 to 776 of the family's 1533-position model. The record is from RNAcentral.